Molecule: RNA transcript, 364 nt
Organism: Solanum lycopersicum (tomato)
Lineage: Eukaryota; Viridiplantae; Streptophyta; Magnoliopsida; Solanales; Solanaceae
Source: RefSeq, a predicted model, not a curated record
AUAAAUAACAAUAUUAUGAUUUGUUGUUUAAAUCAGCCUUUGCAUUUGCAUCACAUUUAAUUAAUGAUUUGUGCUAUUAACUUUACAGAAUUUCCACUUUGUUGCGGCAGUUGUUUGCUUGCUCCUGUGUUUCACUUUACUCUCAGUGUGUGAAUUUUGACUUCGUUGCGGUGGUUAUUUGCUCCCGUGUUUCACUUGUCUCUCGGCGAGUGAUAUAUUGCAACAUGGCGGAAAGAUAUACCAUCAAUAUGAUCACUCCAGAUACUAAAAAUUGGACAUGUGUAAUGAUCUGUUUAGUCGUUUUUGAGCAGUAGAGUUUAUUCUGGUAAUAACUGUCUGGGUCGACGGAUCCCACGACGGACCA